AGAGUUUGAUCAUGGCUCAGGAUCAACGCUGGCGGCGUGCCUAACACAUGCAAGUCGAACGCUCUGCGCAAGCAGGGAGUGGCGGACGGGUGAGGAACACGUGGGUAUCUGCCCUGAGGUGAGGAAUACCGGCGAGAAAUGGCCGACAAAACCGCAUAGCCUCUGUCUUAGGAGAGAGGAAAGUCGCAAGACGCCUGAGG
This 200-nucleotide ribosomal RNA is filed under the name uncultured bacterium. RNAcentral describes it as "partial 16S ribosomal RNA". It matches the Rfam family "Bacterial small subunit ribosomal RNA", at positions 8 to 224 of the family's 1533-position model. The record is from RNAcentral.